GACCUUAUAGCUUUUGGAGCGGCCGAUGUCUGAUUAGCUAGUUGGUGGNGUAAUGGCCUACCAAGGCGACGAUCAGUAGUUGGUCUGAGAGGACGGCCAGCCACACUGGGACUGAGACACGGCCCAGACUCCUACGGGAGGCAGCAGUGGGGAAUUUUGGACAAUGGGCGAAAGCCUGAUCCAGCAAUGCCGCGUGAGUGAAGAAGGCCUUCGGGUUGUAAAGCUCUUUCAGUUGAGAAGAAAAGAUCGUGAUUAAUAAUUGCGAUUUAUGACGGUAUCAACAGAAGAAGCACCGGCUAACUACGUGCCAGCAGCCGCGGUAAUACGUAGGGUGCAAGCGUUAAUCGGAAUUACUGGGCGUAAAGGGUGCGCAGGCGGUUUUGUAAGUCAGAUGUGAAAUCCCCGGGCUUAACCUGGGAAUU
This 422-nucleotide ribosomal RNA is filed under the name uncultured beta proteobacterium Ba1.0. RNAcentral's name for it is "bacterial SSU rRNA". It matches the Rfam family "Bacterial small subunit ribosomal RNA", at positions 208 to 622 of the family's 1533-position model. The record is from RNAcentral. Lineage: Bacteria; Pseudomonadati; Pseudomonadota; Betaproteobacteria.